This 253-nucleotide ribosomal RNA is filed under the name uncultured bacterium. Its description in RNAcentral is "partial 16S ribosomal RNA". It matches the Rfam family "Bacterial small subunit ribosomal RNA", at positions 524 to 776 of the family's 1533-position model. The record is from RNAcentral.
GACGUAGGGGGCGAGCGUUGUCCGGAUUUAUUGGGCGUAAAGCGUGCGUAGGCGGCUGCGCAAGUCGGUUGUGAAACCCCGGGGCUCAACCCCGGAACUGCAUCCGAUACUGCGUGGCUAGAGGUAGGUAGGGGAGAUCGGAAUUCCUGGUGUAGCGGUGGAAUGCGCAGAUAUCAGGAGGAACACCGGUGGCGAAGGCGGGUCUCUGGGCCGAUACUGACGCUGAGGAGCGAAAGCGUGGGGAGCAAACAGG